UACAGAGGGGGCAAGCGUUAUUCGGAAUUAUUGGGCGUAAAGGGCGCGUAGGCGGCUUGGCAAGUGGAAGGUGAAAUCCCUCGGCUUAACCGAGGAACUGCCCUCCAAACUGCUUCGCUUGAGACCGGGAGAGGUGAGUGGAAUUCCCAGUGUAGCGGUGAAAUGCGUAGAUAUUGCGAGGAACACCAGUGGCGAAGGCGGCUCACUGGACCGGUACUGACGCUGAUGCGCGAAAGCGUGGGGAGCAAACGGG
This 253-nucleotide ribosomal RNA is filed under the name uncultured bacterium. RNAcentral's name for it is "partial 16S ribosomal RNA". It matches the Rfam family "Bacterial small subunit ribosomal RNA", at positions 524 to 776 of the family's 1533-position model. The record is from RNAcentral.